UACGGGAGGCAGCAGUGGGGAAUAUUGCACAAUGGGCGCAAGCCUGAUGCAGCCAUGCCGCGUGUAUGAAGARGGCCUUCGGGUUGUAAAGUACUUUCAGCAGUGAGGAAGGGRGUAGUUUUAAUAGAGCUAUUCUUUGACGUUAGCUGCAGAAGAAGCACCGGCUAACUCCGUGCCAGCAGCCGCGGUAAUACGGAGGGUGCGAGCGUUAAUCGGAAUUACUGGGCGUAAAGCGCAUGCAGGUGGUCUGUUAAGUCAGAUGUGAAAGCCCGGGGCUUAACCUCGGAGUUGCAUUUGAAACUGGCAGGCUAGAGUACUGUAGAGGGGGGUAGAAUUUCAGGUGUAGCGGUGAAAUGCGUAGAGAUCUGAAGGAAUACCGGUGGCGAAGGCGGCCCCCUGGACAGAUACUGACACUCAGAUGCGAAAGCGUGGGGAGCAAACAGGAUUAGAUACCCUGGUAGUCCACGCCGUAAACGAUGUCUACUUGGAGGUUGUGACCYAGAGUCGUGGCUUUCGGAGCUAACGCGUUAAGUAGACCGCCUGGGGAGUACGGUCGCAAGAUUAAAACUCAAAUGAAUUGACGGGGGCCCGCACMAGCGGUGGAGCAUGUGGUUUAAUUCGAUGCAACGCGAAGAACCUUACCUAC
Molecule: ribosomal RNA, 646 nt
Filed under: Vibrio sp.
Lineage: Bacteria; Pseudomonadati; Pseudomonadota; Gammaproteobacteria; Vibrionales; Vibrionaceae
Description: bacterial SSU rRNA
Rfam family: Bacterial small subunit ribosomal RNA
Source: RNAcentral